Long non-coding RNA from Cyprinus carpio (common carp), 1262 nucleotides. The record is from Ensembl. NCBI's taxonomy places the organism in Eukaryota, Metazoa, Chordata, Actinopteri, Cypriniformes, Cyprinidae.
GACUGCUCAAUGCACCCUUAAAAGGUGUGAAUGGAUGACUAGGGGAAAAGGAAACGUGUGCGAAUAUGUGGCCGUUGAGAAGGUGUUGUAAGAGCUGUGUGGGACCAGUGUCUCCUGGCACCAUGUGUGUGUGUGUGAGAACAGAAUGCUAAUUAACCACCAGGCUUCAAGUGGGCAGGAGGCGACUCAUUAGCACUGCUGCAUCCAUAUCUGCGCUAAGCUGCCAUCGAGCUCCAUGGCUCUGGGUGCCAUCCAGCUUCUAGAUGCCCCCAGGUGCGAAGAAAUGGAGACGUAUAAUGAGCACACAGUCUCGGCAUGAAGUCUCUCUGUUCAUCUCAUAUUAGGCACCCUCAUGAUUGAUCUCCGAAAGGUCUGUUCGAUCGGUCACAAUCGGGAACCGUCCAUCCAUCUGCUGAGGAUGUUGGCCCCGGGCCCAGAAGUCAACAAAUUGGCCCGUGGGAACAGGGUGACCUCCACACUGAAUGCCAGCGAAUGCACCGACACGUCGUCCCCGGCGAUAUGACAGUGGAAAACAUCACAUUCGAAUAGGAUAGCCAAACAACAUCCUGUGGUUAAAGAUGAUUAGCUAAAAUCAGGCUACGGACCAUGACAGUAGCUUUGUUUCACAACCUAGUCAGUGUGAUGAAGUUGAGCCUUGUAAGUAAUUGGAAACACUCUACAUAUGAAGGAACUAGCAAGAAGUGUAUGAACAAAAGAAAGUUUGCAAAGAAAGGAAGAUGGGAGGAUCGAGAGACAAAAAGAGAAAAUGCACGAUCACUUUGUCAUCUAUUGAAGCUCAUGCAAACACUGCCGAUCGGGGUCAGACACUCGGAUGAGACGAGAACUUCCCGCUAAUCAUCAUCACAAUCAUCAUCAUCAUCUGAAGACUGACCUGGAGGAAACACUCUGAUUGGUAAGAACAUCUAUAUUCCUACAGUUUUGUGUAACACAGUUAGCACUGCAUGAGUUAUUCAAACCUGUGAAAGUGUGAACGUGAAAAAUGUGCAGUGAAUAAUUCUGAACAUACGGUUAAGAAAAACAUCUAUUGCAAUGCCACGUGCUUUUGUACUUGAAUGUAUUUUUAGAAUACUACUAACUGUGCUAUAUGCAUAAAGUUUAUUUACUUAUUUAAUAUUAGAAUGAUUUCUAAAUGAUCAUGUGAUAGACUGGAUGUUACAUGUGACACUGAAGGCUGGAGUAAUGAUGCUGAAAAUUCAGCUUUGCAUCACAGGAAUAAAUAAUUUUUUUUUAAAGUAUAUUCA